Molecule: long non-coding RNA, 345 nt
Organism: Thamnophis elegans (Western terrestrial garter snake)
Lineage: Eukaryota; Metazoa; Chordata; Lepidosauria; Squamata; Natricidae
Exons: 2
Source: RefSeq, a predicted model, not a curated record
GCAGCAACCUCGCCGGCUGCCGUCGCUGGAAGCCAGACAGCCGCCUCCAACAAGUCGGACCGAAAGCGGCGCCUUCCGCGAAAGAAGAGCGCUGUGAAUUCUUUUACUCCUAUCAGUGGAAAUUUGCAAAGGAAUACACGGAAAAUGUAUGUCCAUACAUUAUGAAGUUACAAGUUAUUUACCACCAUCACCUAUAGGCUGUUUCCUUGCUCAUUAAUGACUUUUUAUUCCUGGAUGUGAAGACCUGUAUCUGCAAAAAAAAAAAAAAAAAAAGCAACAAUAGAAGAACCCUGGAGAUCUACCAUUGUUUUAAAAAAAAUUAAUAAAGACUUCAUCAGAUCAAUA